UGUGAAGAAAGUUGGAAAAGAGCA
RNAcentral lists this non-coding RNA (24 nucleotides) under Cricetulus griseus (Chinese hamster). Lineage: Eukaryota; Metazoa; Chordata; Mammalia; Rodentia; Cricetidae. The record is from RNAcentral.